This 253-nucleotide ribosomal RNA is filed under the name uncultured bacterium. Its description in RNAcentral is "partial 16S ribosomal RNA". It matches the Rfam family "Bacterial small subunit ribosomal RNA", at positions 524 to 776 of the family's 1533-position model. The record is from RNAcentral.
UACGUAGGGGGCUAGCGUUGUCCGGAAUCAUUGGGCGUAAAGAGCGUGUAGGCGGCCAAGCAGGUCCGUUGUGAAAACUGGAGGCUUAACCUCCAGACGUCGACGGAAACCGCGUGGCUAGAGUCCGGAAGAGGAGAGUGGAAUUCCUGGUGUAGCGGUGAAAUGCGCAGAUAUCAGGAGGAACACCGGUGGCGAAGGCGGUCGUCUGGGCCAAUACUGACGCUGAGGAGCGAAAGCGUGGGGAGCGAACAGG